Long non-coding RNA from Helianthus annuus (common sunflower), 497 nucleotides. RefSeq lists it as uncharacterized. The transcript is spliced from 3 exons. The record is from RefSeq and is a predicted model, not a curated record. NCBI's taxonomy places the organism in Eukaryota, Viridiplantae, Streptophyta, Magnoliopsida, Asterales, Asteraceae.
AAUCGGACCAAGUCGUUCGUAGUGCCGCUGAGCUCCGUCACAUUACUGAUCUUCAAUUCGAUUCAUCCAGUGCCAAAAUUACUGCAAUAAGAUUGAGUGGAACAUCAGAGAAGGCUUACAUUAGAUCUUAUAACGUGAAGCCGAACAGAAUCGGUGUCAAGAACAAGGCUAUUUAAUUUGGAUUUGUACAUGUAAUUUGGGUGAAAGAGUAAGUGAUUGGUUCUUAUAUGAUAUCCUUAUUUAAGCUGGACGGGUAGUUGACUCGCACAUGGGUAUACUUUUUAUGCAACCAAGUCCGUCUAAAAGUCUAAGAUUCAGAUUUUUCUUACUUUUUAGUUUCUUUGUGCUCUUAAUACUCUGGACUCUUUGGCUUAGUUAUAUGUCGAAGACAUAUGUUGAUGGUAGACACGAAGCCGAUGACGCUUUGCAGUCUGAAUUAAGUAUAAUGGUUUGGUUCAUUCAUUCACUGACUUGACACUUCUAAUGGGGUUUUCCAA